CUCAGCGAGAUGGCCAUCUACUUCUGGGAGAUGGUCGGAAUGAUAAACAACAUGCUCACUCAAAAUCCUGUCUUAAUAAGUGUUUAGUCGCUCUGUCUGUCUGUCUCUCUCGCCCUCCUCCUCUCUCUCCCAGGCAGGAGAGUCCGUCCUUAGUGGUCUGGAAGGCUGUAAGAUCCUGAUGGUGCUGUCAAAAGUUUGAGACAGAGACCAGGCUUUCCAUGAAGGAGUUUGAUAAACUGGCCAAAGAUGUGUUCAGUGUCUGCUACCAGAGCAGUGAGAGCUGCUCCUUCCCCCUCCUUAUAAGGAAGUCUCCCGUGUGGGGCGGAGCUACCUGUAUGCAAAUGGC
This 346-nucleotide long non-coding RNA is filed under the name Salmo salar (Atlantic salmon). RNAcentral's name for it is "lncRNA (ENSSSAG00000107104.1, ENSSSAG00020082668.1, ENSSSAG00075063377.1)". Lineage: Eukaryota; Metazoa; Chordata; Actinopteri; Salmoniformes; Salmonidae. The record is from RNAcentral.